This 253-nucleotide ribosomal RNA is filed under the name uncultured bacterium. RNAcentral describes it as "partial 16S ribosomal RNA". It matches the Rfam family "Bacterial small subunit ribosomal RNA", at positions 524 to 776 of the family's 1533-position model. The record is from RNAcentral.
UACAGAGGUCCCAAGCGUUGUUCGGAUUCACUGGGCGUAAAGGGCGCGUAGGCGGUCACGCACGUCCGUUGUGAAAUCGCUCGGCUCAACUGGGCGGGGUCAGCGGAUACGGCGUGGCUGGAGCAAGCUAGGGGGCAAUGGAAUUCCCGGUGUAGUGGUGGAAUGCGUAGAUAUCGGGAGGAACACCAGUGGCGAAGGCGGUUGCCUGGAGCUUUGCUGACGCUGAUGCGCGAAAGCGUGGGGAGCGAUCCGG